This 920-nucleotide ribosomal RNA is filed under the name Staphylococcus auricularis. Its description in RNAcentral is "bacterial SSU rRNA". The stretch from base 147 to 920 matches the Rfam family "Bacterial small subunit ribosomal RNA", at positions 1 to 761 of the family's 1533-position model. The record is from RNAcentral. Lineage: Bacteria; Bacillati; Bacillota; Bacilli; Caryophanales; Staphylococcaceae.
CCGGGGAAAGGGGGGGGGCAAGCCAAACAAAACCACAGGCCCCACGGGGGGGGGGGCGCCNCAAAAGCCCGAGAGAAACACCCGGGGGCAGCCGGGGCGGGGCGGGGAGACCAAGACAACAGGGGCGCCAGAAGGGGNGGAAACCCCCGCGAUAGAGUUUGGAUCUGGCUCAGGAUGAACGCUGGCGGCGUGCCUAAUACAUGCAAGUCGAGCGAACAGACAAGGAGCUUGCUCCUUUGACGUUAGCGGCGGACGGGUGAGUAACACGUGGGUAACCUACCUAUAAGACUGGGAUAACUUCGGGAAACCGGAGCUAAUACCGGAUAAUAUUUCGAACCGCAUGGUUCGAUAGUGAAAGAUGGUUUUGCUAUCACUUAUAGAUGGACCCGCGCCGUAUUAGCUAGUUGGUAAGGUAACGGCUUACCAAGGCGACGAUACGUAGCCGACCUGAGAGGGUGAUCGGCCACACUGGAACUGAGACACGGUCCAGACUCCUACGGGAGGCAGCAGUAGGGAAUCUUCCGCAAUGGGCGAAAGCCUGACGGAGCAACGCCGCGUGAGUGAUGAAGGUCUUCGGAUCGUAAAACUCUGUUAUUAGGGAAGAACAUACGUGUAAGUAACUAUGCACGUCUUGACGGUACCUAAUCAGAAAGCCACGGCUAACUACGUGCCAGCAGCCGCGGUAAUACGUAGGUGGCAAGCGUUAUCCGGAAUUAUUGGGCGUAAAGCGCGCGUAGGCGGUUUUUUAAGUCUGAUGUGAAAGCCCACGGCUCAACCGUGGAGGGUCAUUGGAAACUGGAAAACUUGAGUGCAGAAGAGGAAAGUGGAAUUCCAUGUGUAGCGGUGAAAUGCGCAGAGAUAUGGAGGAACACCAGUGGCGAAGGCGACUUUCUGUCGUAACGACGCUAUGACAGAGAGGG